This 347-nucleotide unclassified non-coding RNA is filed under the name soil metagenome. Its description in RNAcentral is "partial contains 5.8S ribosomal RNA, internal transcribed spacer 2, and large subunit ribosomal RNA". The stretch from base 1 to 120 matches the Rfam family "5.8S ribosomal RNA", at positions 35 to 154 of the family's 154-position model. The record is from RNAcentral.
GAUGAAGAACGUAGCGAAAUGCGAUAAGUAAUGUGAAUUGCAGAAUUCAGUGAAUCAUCGAGUCUUUGAACGCACAUUGCGCCCCCUGGUAUUCCGGGGGGCAUGCCUGUCCGAGCGUCAUUGCUGCCCUCAAGCACGGCUUGUGUGUUGGGCCCCGUCCUCCGAUCCCGGGGGACGGGCCCGAAAGGCAGCGGCGGCACCGCGUCCGGUCCUCGAGCGUAUGGGGCUUUGUCACCCGCUCUGUAGGCCCGGCCGGCGCUUGCCGAUCAACCCAAAUUUUUUAUCCAGGUUGACCUCGGAUCAGGUAGGGAUACCCGCUGAACUUAAGCAUAUCAAUAAGCGGAGGA